Molecule: long non-coding RNA, 303 nt
Organism: Sphaeramia orbicularis (orbiculate cardinalfish)
Lineage: Eukaryota; Metazoa; Chordata; Actinopteri; Kurtiformes; Apogonidae
Exons: 3
Source: RefSeq, a predicted model, not a curated record
AGCUGUCUGUGCCUGCCUCCAUGAUGACGGUGUAUGGCGUUCCCCUGAUGGCCUCCCCUACCUUCCCCACCAUUUCUUUCCCCAUUUUGUAAAACUGACCCAUGGGCAUGACCAUGUGUCAAAAGGAGGGACGGUUAAAGCACUAAAACCACACUGGUGCACUGUAGGGUUCACUAAUUUUGCUGAUCCUUUUUGUCAAAAAAUGCUUGAUUUGUGCUACUAACAAUGUCCACAAAACUAACAAACAGGUCUCCCAUGGACUAAGUGUCUCCCCAUUGCUUUGAUGUGCAUUUGUGCUUGUUG